AUGUUCACGACGGAGACGGCAACAACUAGUUGCAACGGCGCGGUGCAGUACAAUACAGUAUGCGUGGUGGCCGUGGGGCGUUUCCGCAUGCAGGCGCCACCGCCCUGUCGGGGUAAACUAGACAAAUAUAAAAUUUUCCCCUACAAAACAGAGUGCAAGGCGUGGACGCGGCUCCUCCACACGAAGGACCAUGGUUGAAUGGCUUGCGUUCAUCGUCACAACGAUGAUGAUGAUUUCAUGGAUCCACCACAGCAUAAUCGGGCAACUGGACGGAGAAAAAAGGGCGAUGAGAAGAAGAAAUGUAUUCGCAACAGAGCCUCCCAAGAACGACUAACUACAUUGACUGACAGAUUUACCGACGAUCAGAAGGGAGCUGCUGCUGAGAUGGCGUCUGGCCGGCUGAGCACUGCAGAAAAAGGGAAGAAGCCAGUGGUUGAGGAAUCUGAAAUGGAGUCGUCCGACAGUGAUGAAAAUGAGCAGGAACGAGCGACAGUGGCAGGCAGUGGUGUGGCGAGGCAUAAUGGCGGUGUGAGCACAACUGCAAGGGCUGAACAUACGGGGGCAAGGGCUGUUGUUGUCAACAGUACGACAAGUUGCACGGCUGAAAUUGACAAUAUUCUACAAGAGGUUACAGCGAUGCAAGGCGCUUGUCAGGUGGAGGGGGUAACUACUGAAAAAUUAGGGCACGAAGGUAUAACUGGAACUCAGUAUCCGCCUAUAGCUGUGAAACAGGAGGAUGAUGGCGCACUGAGAGCUGUGGUUGACACAGAAGUUUUGAAUGUGGUCGACAUUGACAUAGAUUGCACGAGGCAGCUUCAGAAUGAGCUUUAUGAAGAAUAUGUGAUUGAGGAAGUAUCCCGGCUGUCAACAGUUGUGUAUGUCAUCGACAAUGAUAGCAAUAAUGAUGGUGCAUUUGAAGAAUGGUCGGACCCUGAGCAUGAUCUGUUAGUAGAGAUUGACAGGAGGCUCAGGGAGCAAGAGGUGAGGGAUGAGGGUGUUGCAAAAAAGUACCAAGAAGAUGAAGAAAAGAAGGUGAACGAGCAGGAAGAGAAGGAUGCAGAGCUUGCGAGGAGCGCUGUCACCGCGUAUCUGUCUCGGGAGUUCCCCUACGAGCUCUCCACGGGCGACAUGCUCCUCACCGCCGGCUGCAACCACGCCAUCAAGAUCAUGAUGGUCGUGCUGGCCUCGCCCGUCGCCGACGUGCUGCUGCCACAACCGGGACACCCAAUGUACGAGUCUCAUGCUGCGCUGCGCGGCCUUGAGUUCCGGCGUGCAGGUCAGCGGCAACGCUAG
This 1293-nucleotide ribosomal RNA is filed under the name Triticum aestivum (bread wheat). RNAcentral's name for it is "partial small subunit ribosomal RNA". Lineage: Eukaryota; Viridiplantae; Streptophyta; Magnoliopsida; Poales; Poaceae. The record is from RNAcentral.